CAGUCGCCGCGGGAAUACGGAGGGUGCAAGCGUUAAUCGGAAUUACUGGGCGUAAAGCGCACGCAGGCGGUCUGACAAGUCAGAUGUGAAAUCCCCGGGCUUAACCUGGGAACUGCAUUUGAAACUGUCAGGCUGGAGUCUUGUAGAGGGGGGUAGAAUUCCAGGUGUAGCGGUGAAAUGCGUAGAGAUCUGGAGGAAUACCGGUGGCGAAGGCGGCCCCCUGGACAAAGACUGACGCUCAGGUGCGAAAGCGUGGGGAGCAAACAGGAUUAGAGACCCGUGUAGUCCCUGUCUCUUAUAA
This 301-nucleotide ribosomal RNA is filed under the name uncultured bacterium. Its description in RNAcentral is "partial 16S ribosomal RNA". It matches the Rfam family "Bacterial small subunit ribosomal RNA", at positions 509 to 809 of the family's 1533-position model. The record is from RNAcentral.